This 595-nucleotide ribosomal RNA is filed under the name uncultured bacterium. RNAcentral's name for it is "bacterial SSU rRNA". It matches the Rfam family "Bacterial small subunit ribosomal RNA", at positions 1 to 551 of the family's 1533-position model. The record is from RNAcentral.
UUUAACGAUCAGCCCGUCGUAANAGUCAUCUAAAAUUGGGNCGUUCGGAUCAUAGGACUCAGCANUGAGACCGCUUCGUUNGACAGCCUCACACAUGCAAGUCGAGCGGAUGACGGGAGCUUGCUCCUUGAUUCAGCGGCGGACGGGUGAGUAAUGCCUAGGAAUCUGCCUGGUAGUGGGGGACAACGUUUCGAAAGGAACGCUAAUACCGCAUACGUCCUACGGGAGAAAGCAGGGGACCUUCGGGCCUUGCGCUAUCAGAUGAGCCUAGGUCGGAUUAGCUAGUUGGUGGGGUAAUGGCUCACCAAGGCGACGAUCCGUAACUGGUCUGAGAGGAUGAUCAGUCACACUGGAACUGAGACACGGUCCAGACUCCUACGGGAGGCAGCAGUGGGGAAUAUUGGACAAUGGGCGAAAGCCUGAUCCAGCCAUGCCGCGUGUGUGAAGAAGGUCUUCGGAUUGUAAAGCACUUUAAGUUGGGAGGAAGGGCAGUAAGUUAAUACCUUGCUGUUUUGACGUUACCGACAGAAUAAGCACCGGCUAACUCUGUGCCAGCAGCCGCGGUAAUACAGAGGGUGCAAGCGUUAAUCGGAAU